UACGGAGGGUGCAAGCGUUGUCCGGAUUUAUUGGGUUUAAAGGGUGCGUAGGUGGCCCGGCAAGUCCGUGGUGAAAGCCUCCUGCUCAACAGGAGAACUGCCAUGGAUACUACCGGGCUUGAGUCCAGGCGAGGUUGGCGGAAUGGACGGUGUAGCGGUGAAAUGCAUAGAUACCGUCCAGAACCCCGAUUGCGUAGGCAGCUGACUAGGCUGGCACUGACACUGAGGCACGAAAGCGUGGGGAGCGAACAGG
Molecule: ribosomal RNA, 253 nt
Filed under: uncultured bacterium
Lineage: Bacteria
Description: partial 16S ribosomal RNA
Rfam family: Bacterial small subunit ribosomal RNA
Source: RNAcentral